UACGGAGGAGGCAAGCGUUAUCCGGAAUUAUUGGGCGUAAAGCGUCCGUAGGUGGUUGGCCAAGUCUGCUGUCAAAGGGUGGGGCUUAACCUCAUAAAGGCAGUGGAAACUGGCGAGCUAGAGUGCGGUAGGGGUAGGGGGAAUUCCCAGUGUAGCGGUGAAAUGCGUAGAGAUUGGGAAGAACAUCGGUGGCGAAAGAGCCCUGCGGGGCCUGCACUGACCAUGAGGGACGAAAGCUAGGGGAGCGAAAGGG
RNAcentral lists this ribosomal RNA (253 nucleotides) under uncultured bacterium. RNAcentral describes it as "partial 16S ribosomal RNA". It matches the Rfam family "Bacterial small subunit ribosomal RNA", at positions 524 to 776 of the family's 1533-position model. The record is from RNAcentral.